Molecule: ribosomal RNA, 458 nt
Filed under: uncultured bacterium
Lineage: Bacteria
Description: partial 16S ribosomal RNA
Rfam family: Bacterial small subunit ribosomal RNA
Source: RNAcentral
CCUACGGGAGGCAGCAGUGGGGAAUAUUGCACAAUGGGGGAAACCCUGAUGCAGCGACGCCGCGUGAGGGAAGAAGUAAUUCGUUACGUAAAGCUCUAUCAGCAGGGAAGAAAUACUGACCUUACGGUCAGCAGACGGUACCUGAGUAAGAAGCACCGGCUAACUACGUGCCAGCAGCCGCGGUCAUACGUAGGGGGCAAGCGUUAUCCGGAUUUACUGGGUGUAAAGGGAGCGUAGACGGUGCGCCAAGUCUGGAGGGAAAUGCCGCAGCUUAACUGCGGAACUGCUUUGGAAACUGGCGAACUAGAGUGCGGGAGGGGUAAGCGGAAUUCCUAGUGUAGCGGUGAAAUGCGUAGAUAUUAGGAGGAACACCGGUGGCGAAGGCGGCUUACUGGACCGUAACUGACGUUGAGGCUCGAAAGCGUGGGGAGCAAACAGGAUUAGAUACCCCUGUAGUC